UCAGCCAAAACACGGUUAAAAGUUUAAAACACGGAAAAUAGCCAUGUUUUCAGAUUCAGGCAGUGCAGAUGCUUUGAGUCCAGAAUCCAUCUCUAUGCCUUCUGAUUUCCUGAAACUCAAGCAUCCAUCUUCCUUCUCUCUUCCAAGCUCCAGCAACCCAAAUCUUCUUGGCCGUCAACCACGCCUGCCACAGCCAUCACCGCCACCAACCGUCGUCGACCACCAUCUCUUUCCCUCUUCUAGAUCUGAGCAGAUCUGACUCCAUCUCGGCCAUGGAUCGCUCAUCUCUUCCUUGUUGGCCGUCGAUCGCGACUCUCUUCUUCUCUUCCAGCCUUCGUCGACUCCCUAUCUUCCUUGUUGGUCGUCGCAGCACCUUCCACCGCCAUCGCUGUCGCCGCACGUUGUUGCCACCAGCAACCCAGAUUCGCAACGCCUCGCCUUUGCCUAUGCCGGUCGUGUCUUCUUCCCCGUCGCCUACGUCAUUCGUCACUUCCUCCUAUGGAUCUUGUCUUCAGAUCUCAAGGUAAGCUACUGAAAAUAUAAUCUCAAGUUUUAUGCUUGUUGUAAAGAGGAUCUAAAAGCCUUUUUCCUUAGGUCAUAGCUAUUGCUACAACUUUAUGUUGAUUAGUUAUCCUGUAAUACAUAUCAAAUAUUAACAAGCUUUGGCAAGUGCAUCCCUUGCUCUUGCAUCUGCAUUUUGACAUAUUAUUGCCAAAACUAAGUUGUUCAUGUUCUUUUUAUUGGCAUCAUUUCUUAACUUCGGAGUCUCCUUAGACCUAUUAUUAUCUUUUUGUGUUACAUUAGUUUUCUUGAUUAGUACACAAGUAAUGUCCUUGGGUGGGUAAAUAGACUUGGUUGCCAGUCAAUCGGAAUCAUAGCCAACUUGCUUCCUUCGUAAGGGCUCCACUUCACUAAAAAUGUUAUUGGUAGUGUAAUCAUUGAUAUACCUUGCCGAAGGUCAAUAGGGAAGUAGGAAAAGAAUCUGAUUGGAUGUUUUUAUUAGCAGUAGUUGAUUACAUUAGUUAUCCUAUUAAAUAUCCUCUUUCUCUGUCUUGCAUUAGGUAUUGUGUGAUGUAUUCCUGCAGAGGGAAGGCUCUUAUAAGAAUGCAUGUUUAUCAGUUUUGAUUAGGCAUACGAAUCAUGUUUUCUGAUCAUUAACACCUUUUUGUGGUCAACUUCUGUGAUCUAGUUAUCUUUUUCUGCCAUGUGGGUUUCUUACCAUAUUUUUUGCCCGAGUCUUGCUUCUUUAAGAUUCAAUUAUUGAUCCUUGUUUAUGUGGUUAAAUCAUUUUUACUUAAAUUUUGUCUAAUUUGUGCUAUAUUCACAUUCUUAUUGACCCUUGUUCAUUUUUCUUUCAUCUAUUUUACUUUCUUGUUCCUAUUUCUAUUUCUUUUUCUUCUUUGUUCUUUUUUUUGGGGAGGGGGGGCGGGGUGGUGGUGGGAAAGGGUUGUUGGGGGCAGAGUUUAGAUAUUUAUUUUUAAUUUUGUUGUUUCUUGUUUCACAUGUCAACAUUUUGGUAACACCUUCAUGUAUAUGGUAAUUUUUUAUUUUUCAGUUAAAAACUAUGAAUACAUGGAUUAUUUGUGUACUCAUAGGGGUAUGCUUGCCCAAAUAGGAAAUGACAGUGUGUUUGGAGAUAUGCAUACUUGACAAAAGAAUAAAAAGUACCUACUAAAAAAUAUCAGGAUGAUUAGGACACAAGUUUCACCCUAAUAUAUGUGUAUCUAUAUAUCUGUUGUAUGAGCGGAUCAUCAAAGUUCCACCUAGGCUCCACCAGACAUAGACAGACUUAAUUUCUUGUUGUCUAAGUGAGUAGAUAGAAUAUACCAUGUUUUUCUCUUAUUUUCUUGCAUCUUAUUUUAAUUUAUUACUUGCUUUAUCUUAAUUACUUAUGAACAUAUUGCUGAAAUGAUUUGAAACUCGUGAAUUGUUUACAUCUUACUAUUGAAAGAAAUUACUGGCAUGUACUUACUUAUACACUACUUACUGAUACCAUUAUAUGUACUGUUUAUCAAUUUCUAAUUGUUGAUUAUUGAUUACUAUAUAUAUAUAUAUAUAAUGAUACUGGUACUAUUUGUCUACUUUAUUGCAUACAAUUGUCUAUAAAUAUUAUUUACAAUUGAUGAUCAUUAAAGUUUUAUGAAUUAUUAGGCUGUAAACAUAAAAAUGUUUAGAAUGCAGGCUGCAUUAUAAUUACCCAUUUUCAAACAUAUUUAUUUUCCCUUUGACUAUCUAAUAACCUCUUUUUUCAUAUUUUGAAUGGCAAUAGCCAUCUUAAUCCACAUACUUAGAGACAUACUGUCAAAUUACAUUUGCUCUAGUGCACAUAUCAUCCUUUAGGGACCCUGAAAAAAUGUUUUGAGUUUCUUCUUGUUUUCCCCUAUCAUCCCUUCCAAUUCUUUUGGGCUUGUCUGCUAUGAAAUGUAAUUUGGUAUUCCAACUACUGCUACACUCAACUUAACAUAUAAGGAAUACAUACUUGUUAGACACUGAUUUUGCUUGAAAUAUUAUCUUAUAUUAGCUUUUAUUAUUCUUAUAUAGUUAACCUAUUAUGUAUUGCAAAUCUCUAGUGGCCGGAGAAUGGAAAUUAAUAUUCCAGUGUUGUAGUGAUGAUAAACUCAUGAGUCAUGACUGGUUGACACAGUGCUCGCAACACAUGAGUCGUGACCUAUUUUGUAGUGAAAUUACGCAACACAAUCUAACAAUUUACAACUAAAAUAUCUACUUUGUCAAUGACACAUUAAAUAAUUUAUUAAAAUAUUAGAAAUGAACUGAAUAACUUUAAUGGUGUUGCAUUUUUUCCUCAUGUUUGUUUUUGUUUUCCUUUUCUUUUCCUUGAUCUAGGGGUGGGUCUAUCAAAUUAUGAUGUUAAAUUAUUUUUCAUGUCGUGUGGAGUAUAUUUUUCAUGUUGGCUUCAUAUUUUUUUUAUCUUCAAUAUAGAACAUGGGUGGUCACACAGGUAAGACUAAGGAAUCAAUGUCAUGGUCUGAUGAGAACGAACACGCAUUUAUCGGUAUUCUUUACGAGAAUGUGAAAUCAGGGAUAUUACAAUGUUCUACAUUCACGAAAGAUGAUUGGGGCAAGAUCAAUCAAGCCAUGAUUACUCUCACAAAAAUGGAUUACGGCAUAGAUAGAUUAAAGGGGAAAUGGAACCAUUUACGUAAGGUACAUCGCUUAUUCUCUGAACUUUUAGGACAUACAGGUGUUACAUGGGAUCCAAAUACCAACAAAGUUAAUGCUCCAGAGGAAGUUUGGCAACACUUUUAUACGAUUAACAAGUCCGAGUACAAAAUAUUCAAGAAGGAAGGAUGUAAGCACUAUGAAACUCUUGGUGAGAUAUUUAGCGGGACUACAGCUACUGGAGAAUUAGGAAAUGCUUCCACUCAGCUUCCUCCAACAUCAGAGGAAGAAAGGCAGUUAGAAGAUGAUUUUUUGAACAGAGGAAUUCAUGUACGUGUGGAGAAUGCUGAUGAAGUUACAAAUAUUCGUUGGUGUGAAGAAAUUGGUGAAUCUAGCGAACGUCGACGUAAGGAACCUAAGAUCAAUAAAACUGAUAAAUUUGAUGCUUGCAUGCCACAGUGGUCAUCUACAGUUAGUAUGACGAACGAAGAAAUUGAACUUAGGACACUUUACCUAAAAGAAAAGCUUGCAAAGCUCCAAGGAAAAUCAUGUAAUCAAUCAGAUAGUAAAGCUACUAGUCUGGAUCCUUAUUCAAAUGUGGUUUGCAUGGACCUCUUAAACAAUAUGGAAGAAGUUUCUAAUGAGAUUUAUAUGAAAGCGAUAAAGGCUUUUAAGGAUCCAGAUUUUAGAGUGUCAUUUGUGAAGAUGCCAGAAAUUAGAAGACGACCUAUCUUGGAACUUCUUUGAUUUGGUUAGUUGAUUGCGUAUUUUCUAAUAUCGUGUUUUUUUCAUUGGUGAUGUUGUAGCUCGAAGUACUGUGUUUUCUUACAUUAACUUCAAGUACUAUUUUAUCUUCAUAGUUUGAUGUUGAUGGUUGUAGAACUGAGUUCCAAGUGGAAUUGUUUGAUGUUGAAUUUAUUUAGAAUUAAAUGCUUGUUUUAUUUUGGGGGAUUUAAUGAUGUUUAAUUGCUUUGUUGCCAUCUUAGUUGAUGUUGAAUUAUUUCUUUACGUUGAUUAUAAUAAAUGAUGAAUGAUAUGAUUACUGAUGAUGAUUAUGAAUAUAUUUAUAUACAGGAUGUCAACUGAAUCAAAUGUGGUUGGUAAUAUGCGUACCAAUGAUUCGAGUGAUGAUGAUUUUUUAUUUACGGAUGAUAUUGUUGCGAAUUUUGGGGAUAUAAUAAUGAUUAAUUGCUUUGUUGCCAACAAAAGUGAUGUCAUUAGCAGGGUACCUUGUAGAACGUCAUUACUUACGAGGAAAAUGUACAUAUUAGAGAUUCUAAAUGGACACCCAUACGUGUGUUAUCGUAAUUUUUGUAUGCAAAAACAUGUGUUCAUGAAUUUUUGUGAUACUUUGAAACAGAAGCAGUUGUUGAAAGAUGGAAAAAAAGUAAGCGUCGAGAAGGGCGUUGCUAUGUUUCUAAUGAUUGUAGGGCACACUACACGAUAUAGUAUUAUUGGUGAUACGUUUCAACAUUCCAACAACAUGAUACACAAAUGGUUUAAAUGAGUAUUACUGGCUGUUUGUUCACUUGGCACAGAGAUAAUAUGUCUGGCACAUCAAAAUAUGCCACAUGAGCGGAUUUUGCACAAAUUUCCCUACUUUAAGGAUUGUAUAGGCGCAAUAGAUGGAACACAUGUUGCAGCUUGGGCACCUACAUCGAGACAAACAUAUUUCCGUGGAAAGAAAAUCAAUAUAACACAAAAUGUGAUGUUGACGUGUGAUUUUGAUAUGAAGUUCACAUUUGUGUAUUCUGGAUGGGAAUGUACUACUAAUGAUUCACGAGUAUUCAUUAAUGCAGUCAUAAGAACUUCAAACAACUUUCCAAUGCCAUGUGGAGAUCAAUUUUACGUUGUUGAUUCUGGUUAUCCAAACAUGCCUAGUUUUCUUGCCCCUUAUCGAGGACGAAGAUAUCAUCUGCGUGAUUAUGUUGGACGAGGAAGACCGCGUGGAAAGGAAGAACUGUUCAACUAUAGACAUUCCUCGUAUCGUAACAUUAUUGAACGUUGCAUUGGAGUUUUAAAGACAAGACUUCCUAUUUUAAAAUUAAUUACCAAUUAUCCAUUUAGUAGGCAAAGACGAAUCCCUACUGCAUGUUGUGCACUACAUAACUAUAUUCGCCAGGAACACGUUUUAGAUAGCUUGUUCGCUGAGUUUUCAUCAGAUAAUAUGGUAUUUCAAGAUAUGUCGGAGUCAAGUCAAGAUUAAGAAGCCAUACAAUUUUAUGCUAG
RNA transcript from Diospyros lotus (date-plum), 5349 nucleotides. RefSeq lists it as uncharacterized. The record is from RefSeq and is a predicted model, not a curated record. Lineage: Eukaryota; Viridiplantae; Streptophyta; Magnoliopsida; Ericales; Ebenaceae. The transcript has 4 exons.